CUGAAGUGAUUUGGGGAUGUUGCUGGCCUCUUCUUUUUGAGGGGCAAUGUGCACUCCCUGAACAAUUCACAAUUUCCAUCACACCCUUGUGCACAUCUUGUAGGCGCCCACUCACCUCUCUUGGUCGUUGGGGCGUCCUAUGUAUUCCUUCAUCUCACACUUUAUUGAAUGGUGCUCUUGAACGCAUCUUAUGGAUUAUUUGUAAUAAAGUAAUCACAGAAA
Molecule: unclassified non-coding RNA, 222 nt
Filed under: uncultured Hygrocybe
Lineage: Eukaryota; Fungi; Basidiomycota; Agaricomycetes; Agaricales; Hygrophoraceae
Description: sequence contains ITS1
Source: RNAcentral